GACGAACGCUGGCGGCGUGCUUAACACAUGCAAGUCGAGCGGUAAGGCCCUUUCGGGGGUACACGAGCGGCGAACGGGUGAGUAACACGUGGGUGACCUGCCCUCAGCUCUGGGAUAAGCCUGGGAAACUGGGUCUAAUACUGGAUAUGACUCCACGGUGCAUGUCGUGGGGUGGAAAGCCUUGUGCGGCUGAGGAUGGGCCCGCGGCCUAUCAGCUUGUUGGUGGGGNGAUGGCCUACCAAGGCGACGACGGGUAGCCGGCCUGAGAGGGCGACCGGCCACACUGGGACUGAGACACGGCCCAGACUCCUACGGGAGGCAGCAGUGGGGAAUCUUGCGCAAUGGGCGAAAGCCUGACGCAGCGACGCCGCGUGAGGGAUGACGGCC
This 387-nucleotide ribosomal RNA is filed under the name uncultured bacterium. RNAcentral's name for it is "bacterial SSU rRNA". It matches the Rfam family "Bacterial small subunit ribosomal RNA", at positions 28 to 416 of the family's 1533-position model. The record is from RNAcentral.